CUGGCUCCUGUGUUCCAGCCAUGCUGGAGGCAGGAGGGUCCCCUCGUGGAGCGGACCCUGACUCUCAUCACUCCCGCUCCCAAAAUCCAGACAAGGAAGCCAAGUAGAUGUGAAUUCGCUGCAGUCGUCUGUGGCUACCAUGGGAUAUGUGAAGCCCCACCGAGCCUGGCGGAGGGGUUUGGAGGUCUCCUUUCUCCAUUCGCAGGGCCUGAGCACCCCCUAGAUGUCAGGCCCCUGGGCUCUGGGUAUGUGUGGGCUGAACUUGAACCUGAUGGAUCGGUCCCUGAGAGAGAACUAGAGCCUCGCAUCUUGGGCCCUGCCUGGUCAGUGCACCACACGUGAGGCCGCAUGCUCCCUGCCAGGGUCACAGGGAGGGAGAAGUUGCUGCCCUGAGUUCUGCCCCCAUGUCUGUCAGCCCCGCCUGAUGUCACAGGGACAGCCCCAGGGCCUCCUCCUCUGCCACCGUACCUGGCACAGGCCAGUGCCCUGUAUCCCAGCCCUCAAACUACCUCGCUUCCUUUCACCCCCAUAACGCCCAUCACAUAGGGCAAGACUCGGGUAAAGAUUGGCAGCCUGGAGAAGAUAAGGUGGGCCACUGAGUAAGGUGAACAUUUCUGAAAACAGAGGCUAAAAUCCUUGCUAUCACCAAAGAGGACCAGGCCAGAGGAAAUGCAGCAAGAGGGAUCAAGGUUAGACUUAAGGAGGAACUGACUCAAGGGGCAGAUUAAUUUCUGGCCAUGCAAUUGUUGUAAAGCUUAAAUGACGUACUAGAUGAAAAUGUCCUGACAUGUAAUCAACAUUCAAUAAAUGAUCUGAAGGAGGGAACAGAUGGCUCUGAACCCAGGGAAGACCCUCUCCUAACCAUGAGAGUCAGGACUUUGCAGGGGAUGAGGAGUCGGAAGGACAAUUCCCAGAAGAGCUGUUUCUCCCACACUCAGGCUGCUGCUUCCCCACCCCAGCCCUCCUGCACCACGCCUGCACUGGGCGCAGGGCCCAGCCACCCUGGGACACCCUGCCUUUGUCCUCUCUGCCGCAGGUGGGCAAACAGAAGGGUUUGGGGGCUGAGAAUCCUGUUCUUCUCCCCUUCCCCCUGUCUAUGCACAGGACAGCUUGAGAGGAAACGGUCCCAGCCUGCAGGGAAUCGAGGUCAGAUAGGAAUCAAGGUUAGACAGGAAGGAAACCUCCCAGUGCCCGAAGUGGGGCCGCUCCACGGUGGGCUUUUUACAUCUUUAACCUCAAUGGUGUGUCAGCUAGUGUUGUCCUGAGGGGCAGGGGACCGGCUGACACGACCUUUAAGAUGACCUAGAGAGGAGUUCCUGUCGUGGCUCAGUGGUUAACAGACCCAACUAGGAACCUUGAGGAUGCGGGUUGGAUCCAGGGCCUUGCUCAGUGGGUUAAGGAUCAGGCACUGCCGUGAGCUAUGGUGUAGGUCGCAGAUGCUGCUCAGAUCCCGCAUUGCUGUGGCUGUGGCUGUAGCCCCGCUUAGACCCCUAGCCUGGGAACCUCCACAUGCCAAGGGUGCUGUCCUAAAAAGACAAAACAAAACAAAAACAAAAAAAAGGACAUGACCUAGGGAGCUUGGUAGAUCCAGUUUAAUCUCUGGUGGCUGUGCUGGUUGGCACAGUGCAGUGGGCUCUUGAUGGAGAGGAGUUCAGAGCUACCAGGGAAGAGCAGGGGAAAGGGAGGUUGGUCUUUGAGCCCCCACGGCAGAGGUCAGGAGCAGUGUAGAGAGCAAGCACUGGGCUGGUGUCACGUUGCCUGCUUCCCCUACUGCUGUGUGACUGUGGCCAAGUUAAUUGCCCUCUCUGGUCUUCUGUGUCCUUGGUCUGAGUAGAGAAUCUCUAAGGUCCCUUUCAGCCAUCACAGGUUCUACCCACCUCCUCUGUCCUGAGCUGAUACAUGCCUUGCCACAAAGAGGGAGGAAAGAAUACUUCCCAGCUCCAUUCAAACCAGGAUGAAUGGAGAUUUGGCCCAAGAGAAUAUUGGUGCUUACCUGUGCCUGCCCGCCCCUGACAAACAGUCCCUCCUGCUCCAAAGGCACACUUUGCCUAAAUCUGUCCUCUCAGCCCAGAGGAUGGGUAAAGGAGUGUCUCUAGGAUUCAGCUACUGUCAAUUUUCUUCCCACUCCAGAAAGAAAAGGCUUUGCCACACUCCGUUCCAGCCAGGGACUGUAUGCCAGUCCAUAUUUUCUCCUGUGGAAGCGCUUUCUUCCAGCUGGUGGCUCUUCUCCCCCACAACCUCUUCCUGGUUCUCUGUAGCCUCAGCCACCUGGCCCAGUUGCCUGCAGAUCCCGGAAUGGAUUUGCAUUAAGAUUGGGGAGGAGGAGUUCCCGUCGUGGCGCAGUGGUUAACGAAUCCGACUAGGAACCAUGAGGUUUCGGGUUCGGUCCCUGCCCUUGUUCGUGGGUUAACCAAUCCGGCGUCGCCGUGAGCUGUGGUGUAGGUUGCAGACGCGGCUCGGAUCCCGCAUUGCUGUGGCUCUGGCGUAGGCCAGCAGCUGCAGCUCCGAUAGGACCC
This 2516-nucleotide long non-coding RNA is filed under the name Sus scrofa (pig). RNAcentral describes it as "lncRNA (ENSSSCG00005030761.1)". The record is from RNAcentral. Lineage: Eukaryota; Metazoa; Chordata; Mammalia; Artiodactyla; Suidae.